This 781-nucleotide long non-coding RNA is filed under the name Onthophagus taurus. Its description in RNAcentral is "uncharacterized LOC111415717, transcript variant X2". Lineage: Eukaryota; Metazoa; Arthropoda; Insecta; Coleoptera; Scarabaeidae. The record is from RNAcentral.
GAUUUUUUUUAUAAAACCUUUAUACCAACUCGAAGGAAUUCACUUUAAAAUCGGUUUCCCUUUCACAUCCCACCGUAUCCGAGACUAAAAUAGACCGACAACCAUUCCUUCAACUCUACCUAGUUGGAGAGCUCGCCUCUUUGCUUGUAGGCUUGUAGUAUUAGGUAGUAGUGGUUGUAAAGUUAAACAUCUGCGAACGUGCACGGAAAUUGGCUUUAAUUAAAUAAAUUAUUUCCCGUAGUCGCAAAACGGAGUGCGCACGCAAUACGAUUUUCUAAUCAAUACGAACCGAGUCCCCAACGUAUGUAGUACUGCUGCAAGUGCCUUAGACGAACGGUCAAGUGCAGUUGGUACCGCUAUCUCUCAAGAUUCCUUUUACUUUAGAUAAAAAUGCCGGCUCCUAACGAAUCGGUCCCACAAAAACCGGCAGUAUGCAGAAGACUCUUUCAAAACGACGAAAACGAUGAAAAUGACGAAAUUCCCAUUGAAUAUCUUCCAACGAGGAGUGAAGAUGCUAAAGAAAAAUGGAAUUUUGAUUUUGAAAACGAUCGGCCUUUAGAGGGCGAUUGGGAAUGGACCCCAGUCAAUAAUUCCGAAGGAGCUAGAAAUCAAACGAACGGAAAUGGAAAAGAAAAUGAUGUGCAAUAAUUUUUUAUUUAUUUAUUUAUGGAUGUUUUUUUUUUCUUUUUAAAUUAACCUAGUCUAUGAGUGAUCAAAAAAUCCUAUACUAAUGAUAAUUUAUUUUUAUUAAAUCGUACUUAUAUACGAGUAUAUUUAUUUA